Molecule: unclassified non-coding RNA, 346 nt
Filed under: soil metagenome
Description: partial contains 5.8S ribosomal RNA, internal transcribed spacer 2, and large subunit ribosomal RNA
Rfam family: 5.8S ribosomal RNA (bases 1-120)
Source: RNAcentral
GAUGAAGAACGCAGCGAAAUGCGAUAAGUAAUGUGAAUUGCAGAAUUCAGUGAAUCAUCGAAUCUUUGAACGCACAUUGCGCCCGUUAGCAUUCUAGCGGGCAUGCCUGUCCGAGCGUCAUUGCUGCCCUCAAGCACGGCUUGUGUGUUGGGCCCCGUCCUCCGAUCCCGGGGGACGGGCCCGAAAGGCAGCGGCGGCACCGCGUCCGGUCCUCGAGCGUAUGGGGCUUUGUCACCCGCUCUGUAGGCCCGGCCGGCGCUUGCCGAUCAACCCAAAUUUUUAUCCAGGUUGACCUCGGAUCAGGUAGGGAUACCCGCUGAACUUAAGCAUAUCAAUAAGCGGAGGA